This 71-nucleotide transfer RNA is filed under the name Peltoperlopsis cebuano. Its description in RNAcentral is "tRNA-Val". Lineage: Eukaryota; Metazoa; Arthropoda; Insecta; Plecoptera; Peltoperlidae. The record is from RNAcentral.
CAAUUCAGAGCUUGAUUAGAUAAGCGUUUCACUUACACUGAGAAGAUGUCGUGCGAAUCGGCUUGUUUUGA